AUUGAACGCUGGCGGCAGGCCUAACACAUGCAAGUCGAGCGGAUGAAGGGAGCUUGCUCCUGGAUUCAGCGGCGGACGGGUGAGUAAUGCCUAGGGAUCUGCCUGGUAGUGGGGGAUAACGUCCGGAAACGGGCGCUAAUACCGCAUACGUCCUGAGGGAGAAAGUGGGGGAUCUUCGGACCUCACGCUAUCAGAUGAGCCUAGGUCGGAUUAGCUAGUUGGUGGGGUAAAGGCCUACCAAGGCGACGAUCCGUAACUGGUCUGAGAGGAUGAUCAGUCACACCGGAACUGAGACACGGUCCAGACUCCUACGGGAGGCAGCAGUGGGGAAUAUUGGACAAUGGGCGAAAGCCUGAUCCAGCCAUGCCGCGUGUGUGAAGAAGGUCUUCGGAUUGUAAAGCACUUUAAGUUGGGAGGAAGGGCAGUAAGUUAAUACCUUGCUGUUUUGACGUUACCAACAGAAUAAGCACCGGCUAACUUCGUG
RNAcentral lists this ribosomal RNA (484 nucleotides) under uncultured bacterium. RNAcentral's name for it is "partial 16S ribosomal RNA". It matches the Rfam family "Bacterial small subunit ribosomal RNA", at positions 30 to 507 of the family's 1533-position model. The record is from RNAcentral.